UCUAACUGCACUUCCCGGGAGGCAGGGAGAUCAUUCUCAAACCCGCUCAACCCGGGAUCCUCGUUGGCUUGAGGCUGGGGCAGCAGGUCAGAUCAGGGAUGAGACUUCCAGGCCGGGCUUACUUGUGCCAUCUUGCUGAGGAAGCAAUCGAUGAAGUCGCGGGGAGAGCUGGGGUCGAGGGAGUCCUGGUGGUCGCGGACGCUGCGGGCGAUGAGGUCCUUCAUGCGCCCGAAGUUCCGGAAAAGGCGUCGGUGCGGCCCAGAACCUGGUACCUGGACAGCACCAUUCAGCGUUGGAAACCCAGGUGGGCUGCUGUGCUCAGGGGCCACACUGGAUUGUUUUGUUGGGGAGUGUGAUGGGGACUCCCAAAGGAUACACUCUGGCUUUUCAAAGGAAUCAGAAAUUGGGAGGAUUUGGUUAUGAGAUAAGUGUCUUCUAAUACCAUGUGAAAUAAGAUUUUGAAAAAAAUAUGCAUUCUGAGAAUAUAAAUGGUGAAAAGACAGUCUCUUCAAUAAAUGGUGCUGGGACAACUGGACAGAUACAUGCAGAAGAAUGAAACUGGACCAUUUUCUCACACCAUACACAAAAAUAAACUCAAAGUGGAUUUUUUUUUUAAGUUUAUUUAUUUUUGGGACAGAGAGAGACAGAGCAUGAAUGGGGGAGGGUCAGAGAGAGAAGGAGACACAGAAUCUGAAACAGGCUCCAGGCUCCGAGCUGUCAGCACAGAGCCCAACACGGGGCUGGAACUCACGGACCGCGAGAUCAUGACCUGAGCCGAAGUCGGACGCUCAACUGACUGAGCCACCCAGGCGCCCCUCAAAAUGGAUUAAAGACCUAAAUGUGAGGCCUGAAACCAUAAAACUCCUAGAAGAAAACAUAGGCAGUAAUCUCUUUGAUAUCUGCCUUAGCAGUAUUUUUCUGAUUAUAUCUCCUCAGACAAGGGAGACAAAAGCAAAAAUAAGCUAUUGAGACUACCAAAAUAAAAAGCUUUUGUACAGUGAAGGAAACCAUCAACAAAACAAAAAGGCAUCUGGGAAAACAUAUUUACAAAUGAUAUAUCCAAUAAGGGGUUAAUAUCUAAAAUAUAUAAGGUACUUAUACAACUGAACACUAAAAAAGCAGACAAUCUGAUAAAAAAUGGGCAGAGGACCUGAAUAGGCAUUUUUCCAAAUAAGACAUACAGAUGGCUAAUAGACGCAUGAAAAGAUGCUCAACAUCACUCAUCAUCAGGGAAAUGCAAAUCAAAACCACAAUGAAGGAAGCCUGGCUGGCUUAGUCAGAAGAGCGUAUGACUCUUGAUGGAGGGAUUGUGAGUUCAAGCCCCAUGCUGGGUGUAGAGAUUACUUAAAAUAAAUAAAACUUAAAAAAAAAA
Molecule: long non-coding RNA, 1372 nt
Organism: Acinonyx jubatus (cheetah)
Lineage: Eukaryota; Metazoa; Chordata; Mammalia; Carnivora; Felidae
Exons: 2
Source: RefSeq, a predicted model, not a curated record